CAACACAACUAAAUUACCAUCCACAUGAAAUAAUAGUCAAAUAGUUCCAUCAUGCACAUCAGUCAGUCAGACAUUUUCAGAAAAAAAAAAAAUAUUAAAGCCAAGAAUACACACUGAAAUUAAAAAUCAACCUAUUCUAGGAAUUUAAAUUAAAAUUAAAAGUAAAAGAAAGAAAAACUAAAAUCAUGUCUAUGAACAUCCCUCAGUUGAUGUCUGCAAUCAACCCAUGUUAUCAUUAGAGUCCUCUUGACUCUC
This 255-nucleotide long non-coding RNA is filed under the name Vigna radiata. Its description in RNAcentral is "long non-coding RNA (VRAD_LNC011499)". Lineage: Eukaryota; Viridiplantae; Streptophyta; Magnoliopsida; Fabales; Fabaceae. The record is from RNAcentral.